RNAcentral lists this ribosomal RNA (467 nucleotides) under uncultured bacterium. Its description in RNAcentral is "partial 16S ribosomal RNA". It matches the Rfam family "Bacterial small subunit ribosomal RNA", at positions 28 to 507 of the family's 1533-position model. The record is from RNAcentral.
GACGAACGCUGGCGGCGUGCUUAACACAUGCAAGUCGAACGGAAAGGCCCUGCUUUUGUGGGGUGCUCGAGUGGCGAACGGGUGAGUAACACGUGAGUAACCUGCCCUUGACUUUGGGAUAACUUCAGGAAACUGGGGCUAAUACCGGAUAGGAGCUCCUGCUGCAUGGUGGGGGUUGGAAAGUUUCGGCGGUUGGGGAUGGACUCGCGGCUUAUCAGCUUGUUGGUGGGGUAGUGGCUUACCAAGGCUUUGACGGGUAGCCGGCCUGAGAGGGUGACCGGCCACAUUGGGACUGGGUUACGGCCCAGACUCUUCCGGGAGGCAGCGGUGGGGAAUAUUGCACAAUGGGCGGAAGCCUGAUGCAGCAACGCCGCGUGCGGGAUGACGGCCUUCGGGUUGUAACCGCUUUCGCCUGUGACGAAGCGUGAGUGACGGUAAUGGGUAAAGAAGCACCGGCUAACUACGUG